This 281-nucleotide unclassified non-coding RNA is filed under the name uncultured bacterium. RNAcentral describes it as "contains 16S-23S intergenic spacer region". The record is from RNAcentral.
CGAAGACGCGCAGCGGCAAAAUCAUGCGCCGCCUCCUCAAGGCCCGCGAGCUCGGACUCCCGGAGGGGGACACGAGCACGCUGGAGGACUAGUCUCGGUACCGGCUCCGACUUCGCCGACUAACUUAUUGUUCGACUAGCCCUAACACAUGGAUGCAGGCGGACAGAUCCCCCGCCACUCCACACAUCGCACCCAAGAUCUGGUUCUACGAGGGGUAGCCUGCCUUCACCAAGCCGACGACGUUCCCCUCCGGAUCGGCAAACUGAGCGAGGACCACCAUC